RNAcentral lists this ribosomal RNA (301 nucleotides) under uncultured bacterium. RNAcentral describes it as "partial 16S ribosomal RNA". It matches the Rfam family "Bacterial small subunit ribosomal RNA", at positions 509 to 807 of the family's 1533-position model. The record is from RNAcentral.
CAGUAGCCGCGGGAAUACGGAGGGAGCUAGCGUUGUUCGGAAUUACUGGGCGUAAAGCGCGCGUAGGCGGUUACUCAAGUCAGAGGUGAAAGCCCGGGGCUCAACCCCGGAACUGCCUUUGAAACUAGGUGACUAGAAUCUUGGAGAGGUCAGUGGAAUUCCGAGUGUAGAGGUGAAAUUCGUAGAUAUUCGGAAGAACACCAGUGGCGAAGGCGGCUGACUGGACAAGUAUUGACGCUGAGGUGCGAAAGCGUGGGGAGCAAACAGGAUUAGAGACCCCGGUAGUCCCUGUCUCUUAUAC